This 468-nucleotide ribosomal RNA is filed under the name uncultured bacterium. RNAcentral's name for it is "partial 16S ribosomal RNA". It matches the Rfam family "Bacterial small subunit ribosomal RNA", at positions 28 to 507 of the family's 1533-position model. The record is from RNAcentral.
GACGAACGCUGGCGGCGUGCUUAACACAUGCAAGUCGAACGGAAAGGCCCUGCUUUUGUGGGGUGCUCGAGUGGCGAACGGGUGAGUAACACGUGAGUAACCUGCCCUUGACUUUGGGAUAACUUCAGGAAACUGGGGCUAAUAUCGGAUAGGAUCUCCUGCUGCAUGGUGGGGGUUGGAAAGUUUCGGCGGUUGGGGAUGGACUCGCGGCUUAUCAGUUUGUUGGUGGGGUAGUGGCUUACCAAGGCUUUGACGGGUAGCCGGCCUGGGAGGGUGACCGGCCACAUUGGGACUGAGAUACGGCCCAGACUCCUACGGGAGGCAGCAGUGGGAAAUAUUGCACAAUGGGCGGAAGCCUGAUGAAGCAACGCCGCGGGCGGGAUGACGGCCUUCGGGUUGUAAACCGCUUUCGCCUGUGACGAAGCGUGAGUGACGGUAAUGGGUAAAGAAGCACCGGCUAACUACGUG